UACGUAGGGGGCGAGCGUUGUCCGGAUUUAUUGGGCGUAAAGAGCUCGUAGGCGGUUUGUCACGUCGGGUGUGAAAGCCCUCGGCUCAACCAAGGAAGUGCAUCCGAAACUGCUGAGCUUGAGUACUUAAGAGGAUCGCGGAAUUCCCGGUGUAGAGGUGAAAUUCGUAGAUAUCGGGAGGAACACCAGCGGCGAAGGCGGCCACUGAGCGAUACUGACGCUGAGAGCGAAAGCGUGGGGAGCAAACAGGAUUAGA
RNAcentral lists this ribosomal RNA (256 nucleotides) under uncultured bacterium. Its description in RNAcentral is "partial 16S ribosomal RNA". It matches the Rfam family "Bacterial small subunit ribosomal RNA", at positions 524 to 782 of the family's 1533-position model. The record is from RNAcentral.